CACAUUCUGAGCGAUCCGAAACAUCGUCAUCAUCUCAUUAGCGUCUUCUCUGGCGAGCUCUCAUUGGCUAUUGCUGAUCACCGUCCUCAAAACUUCUCGUUGCACAUCGUGCCGAUAAAAUCAAACCUGUUUGAAAAUACCAAGACAUCUGGAACUGCUCAAAGACGAGAUCGGUAGCCUUCAGAUUGCGCAUUUGACCGCUCACAUCUAGCGUGUGUUGGUGACGGCCGCACACCCCAAGUAGGCAACAACAUGGGGAUUUUGUCUCCGAUCUCAAACACUUGUCUGGGACAGCUAAAUUGUGGCCAAAAUCCUGUAGUGUACACCUGUCAGUCUCCCUCAGAGUUAAAAGACCGUUCCCAUCCAGGAACCAUGUUCGCGUCUUCAGACUGUUUACGGAAACCACCCUGGCUCUCCUCCUGUCCUACUGCCCUGGAAUGGAUGUCGUCUUCAGACUGUUUACGGAAACCACCCUGGCUCUCCUCCUGUCCUACUGCCCUGGAAUGGAUGUCGUCUUCAGAAUAUACCCACUCUAGCCAGUAGACCCUACAGAUUCAGUAUAUCAGCUUGGAACAAAGGCCUUGCUGGUGGUUCUGUGCCUUACCCUACUCUCUGCUCAUCUUCCUCUAUGAUGAAAUACAUCCUGCGACAAAAUUCAGGAGGUUGGGUGGACAAGGAGUAUGAAGGAUCUUGUUUGGAGACUUCUUCCUGGUUAACCUGAUCCUGUGGGUGGAGGGCAGCCAUCCCCUUCGCCGCUCUGGUGGCCAUCUUGGCUUUGAGGUUUGCCAUCUCCAUGCCCUUUACCUUUGUGGGCGCCUAGCCUACUUCGGCUUCAAGAGACCUGCAAUUGAGCAGCCAGUGCGAACCAAGA
RNAcentral lists this long non-coding RNA (871 nucleotides) under Salmo salar (Atlantic salmon). RNAcentral's name for it is "lncRNA (ENSSSAG00000098829.1)". Lineage: Eukaryota; Metazoa; Chordata; Actinopteri; Salmoniformes; Salmonidae. The record is from RNAcentral.